Molecule: long non-coding RNA, 6491 nt
Organism: Astatotilapia calliptera (eastern happy)
Lineage: Eukaryota; Metazoa; Chordata; Actinopteri; Cichliformes; Cichlidae
Source: Ensembl
UUAUUGCUAAUGCAAUCAUAUGGCACAUUGACUUCUGAGGAAAUUUUAGUCAGCACUCAUCAUCAGAAAGGUUGCCAAACCCUGUUCUAUGGUGACCCCUUGUGAAUAAGGAAGCAGCUGAAAGUGGUUGUAUCUGUAACUAUUUCAAACAGAAAUGCAGUCAAUUUGUUGCACAUACUGAAGCAUGCAAUUAACUGAACUGAUGGUUGUACGCUAAAAAAAUGAGAGGCCUGUUUGUUUCAAACUAUUACUAGUUACUAUGAAUUUGUUAUCGUAAACGGCAUCUGUGCCUGAAAGAUUUGUCAGUUGCAACAGAGACAAUGGGUGGCUUGUUUAGCAAAGGGUCAGGACUGUUCAGCAGCUGGGAUUAUUUAAAACAAUCUGUGGCCUACCAGCAGCUCUAACAAAUUUCAUUCAAAUAUGUUUUUUUGCCCUCUCUUAACAAAGAAUGUAGUGAAUUAAAAGUAAAACUUAAGAACUCCACUCUCCUGCUACACUCUGACUGACCUCCACCAUAGAAAAAGUUUCUUCACAGAGGUAAGUCUCUACCUGCUUUGUAGCUAAGACUUUAACCUUUUAGUCUCCCAUCUAUAAGGCACAUCUAUAAGCAACAUAUAUCACUUUCUCCAACUAGAGGGAAGCUUCAAGAAAAGUUAAGCCUAAAGAGCAACUUUCAGCUUGUGGAAAAAUGCUUAAAAACAUCCAAUUUUUGUGGGAUGCAGGAGUUGAAAUGAUUGACAAAACUGAAUAAAGAACAGGUGCAGAUCUGGACGUGUCAAACUGUGUGUCUGAGUAAUCAGGUAAUGUCGACUAAAAAAGUCGCGAGGUGACGCGAGAGGGACUGUCACCAAAUCUGGUCUCACACUGCUGUUUUAACAACCUGCACAGGUGGGGGGAAAAGAAAAUGUGUGUAUGGGGAGGUUAGUAGCGGUGGCUACAUGUAACAUUAUUGUUUCUGCGCCUAUCCCCCCCUCACACACACAUGCCCACACACACAACCAUGCAUACUGAACCUGACACGCCUACACUGUAACACUCCCUCUGGAAUCCAGCAAGUCAAACGCUCUUGUGUAUGUGCAGGUGAGUGUAUUUUCCAUCCAGCUGCCAGAGUACAUGUGUGUGUGUGUGUGUGUGUGUGUGGAUCAGAAAGAAGACUUGUACUGUUCGGCUUCUACAGGAUGACUCAGCAUCAUUCAGCCCCCACGGGAACACUGCCUGCCUGUUAGCGCUCAGCUAAUAAGACGCUUGCUUGAGCCGAUGCAUCACCAUCCCACCUGAGCACUGCAGAAGGAAGAGGGAGAGAGAAAAGAGCAGGGAGGAGGGAAAGGAAGAAAUGCAGAUGUAGAUAUUAGAAGGAGGGGGAAGUGUCUUGAAGAUGAGUGCACCUGUCUCCAAGCACAAGCUUCUGCUCACACUCACUGUCUUACUUCUGAGUGCGUAUGCGCCAAAAAAACUGAGAUAUUUUCACUGAGAAUUUUAUAUAAAUGCUGCUAUAUUAUGCUGUAAAUCAUAUCGUUUGAAAGAUUUUGCAUAAUUGAGAUCCAAGUAUGCAGACGUGCAUUACAGGCUUUGUUAAUCGGCAGGUGAGGUCCAGUAAUAUUUACACAUUGCAGAGAAAACAUGUCACUUAUUUGUUUGCAGAUGAAAAAAAGAAAAAGAAAAUUAAAUACAGAAACACAUUUUUAAAUGGUGGGGAAAUGCAUCUCCAUCAGAACCGCUGGCCAGGGUACGUGUGACAUCAGUCACUGAUUUGAAUUCAGUGAGUUCUAACAGAGUUCACGAUGUUACAGGCAGCAGCUUUCAUGUGUAAAUUAGCUCAGCCAGUCUCCACUUUAACAGGUUAGUUAGGCCAUCCUUUGAGUCUGUGUUGUGUAGACUUAGGAGAAGGAAACACGCACGGUGGCCGCUUCUAUUUCUGUGCUGCCAUUUACUAUCUGCAUAAGGAAAAGGACACGUAUACUGGUCGGUUAUGCAGUCGGCCUGACCACAUACCUAGCGUAACGCCUGCGCAAACUGGCAAAGCAUCACUGGCAGCAGUGUGAUUUACCCGCUGAGAGACAGCAGGUAAUGUUAAACUUCCUCAUAUAUAAAGAACCUUUAAAAAAACCUUACCAUGAUCUCCUCUCAGUUGUCUAGCAGUAAGCACUUUGCUAAACACAGACAUGCUCUCAGUCUCUCUGCCUCAUUCACUGCAGUGAUGUGGUAUCCCUAUAUAGUAACUCGAAUAAUAAAUGCUACCUGGCAUCAAUCUUCCCUACCAGUGGCUUCAUCUCAUCUCUUUCACCUUGUUUUCUACUUAAGUUCAUGGCUACUCCUGACUAAAACAUCUGUGCUGGUGUAGUAUAACAGCAGAUGGCAAGACACGUGUCAGUUUAAGCUAAUUUUACAGUUAUGGAUCAGAGAGUUACAAAUGGCAUUCUCAGGACCUGCAGGUCCUUACAACUGCAAGUGGAAUUACCGUAUUUUUUGGACCAUAAGGCGCAAUGUCGAUGAACGGGUCUGUUUUCAUACAUAAGGCGCACCAGAUUAUAAGGCGCAUUAAGCGAAACAAUACACUCAAAUAAUUCAAACUUUACUCAACUCAUUCUUCUUGCUUCCUCCAUUUUCAUACCAUUGAUUCAUUAAUGUUGAAUUCUCUCACAGCUGCUCUAUUCCCAUGUUGUUGCAGUAUAUUAAUGACUAACCUCGUAUUCUGGAUGGAUUAUCUCAGUUGUUCUCCUGACUGAAGUUUUGGUCCGUUUACUGCAUCCUGCCAUGAGAUUGCAUUUGUCCCUAACCUUCGGGAACCCCCGUUAACUUUUAUCGAGUGGAAAAAAGUUAGCGUUCAUCCUCCAGCUUCACUGUGUUUAUGUUAUGCUAACAUAGCUGUGUCGCUAGCAGUCAUGUAGCACAUCAUUAUAUACCAGCUAGCCCAACUUCAGAAACCCUACAAACAUCACUGCUGUUUAGUUUUCUUCUUCGUUUAUGUUGGAAGUGACAGCAGAGCUGUACAUUUAAAUUUUUCAGAAAUCUCUCAGUCAGAACAUGCUAUAUCAUGUUUAGGUGGAAACUAGCGAGCUAACUUCCUGCUAACUUCUAACUCCAUUAAAUGUAAUAAAUUCUGUUUUUUAUGGAUUCCUGGAUGUGAAACGUAAUUGUUACUCCUCAGCCAGUAAAACAGCAAAGCAGAUCAUUUUAUUAAAGAUGAAAGAAUUUAGACAGUUUUUAACUCUCAGUGAUGCCGCAGUGUUUGUUUGUCUCUCAGACCUGAAGGGGACGGAGUUUUGGACCCAGAUUACUCCGCAAGGCUCCCGACUACGGUAGCUGUAAUGCUCCGACAAUCCAUCAAGCGGUGCGGGUUCAUAGCUUACCAAAGUCUUACUAAAACAUUUUUUGACAGAUUUUUGAGCACCGUGUACCACAUGAAAUCGGUUCGAGGUCAGUAAGCACAACCAGAAUUCAUACAUAAGGCGCACCGUCGAUUUUUGUGAAAAUUAAAGGAUCGUAUCGUAAGUGCGCCUUAUAGAUUAUUUUCCUACAGUAAAUAGGAAAAUGAGGCUCAGGUUGAAUUAAAAAAAAAAAAAAAGAAAGACAAGUGAAUAUUCAAGUUAGUGGUUCCUACAACAAGCCCAUACAGAAUAGAUGCAUGGACGCACAUGCGCACACUCACACGCAUGCACACAGACACACUUUCCUAAGCCCACUGGCGAUGUCUGGCACAUCUGUGUCUGUAAGAACUGGACCGUGUUUUUUGAACAGUUCAACUUUGUGUGCAUGUGAGGGUGUGAGAACACGCCAUAAUGUGCCAGGUCAUUUCAGGUCAUAUUGGAAAAGGUUGUUCAUAGUCCAGAUGUUAUGCAGCCAUCCAAGUAUCUAGUCCAGCAAGGCACAGACCCAAAGAAUUCAGUCACAUUGGCCCCAUUCUCACUGCAAAAAGGGGGGAAAAUGCAACAGUGGAGCAAUAACACUUUAGUGCAUAUUAGAAUUUUGCAAAUUAAGAAAGAAGAGUUUUAAAACCCACAGAAGAAGAACAGAUUGGAUCUGUGUGAAUAUAAUCUGAACUUUCCUUUGACAGGUGUGUCACUGGGAGACGUGUUAAUAGGCUUGAGGAUGAAAGUGCAUUUUCCCUUCUCAAAGAUAAACGCCCUUAGAGGCCACUGCACACAAACACAUCCUUUGGAAACACAGACUUCUACUGUCUCCACUGCAGCAUUCCAGUGUGUUUAUGCAGACUCUGUAAAGGAAACACAAGCAACAGAGAAGGAGUGCACAGGAUGAAGCAAGCAGGCAUGCUCUGAGCUUGUAUUUAGGUGUCGCUUUUUUUCUUGUCACUGAUGAUGUGUUUGUCUUUCUAUAGCACGAAAACCUCAUACCACUGCAAGGGUUUUUACUUCUGACCCUUCAUAUAUACUGACUGAAUAUUUAUAUACCCUUUUAUUGGCACAAACCCAAUGUUCUCAUGGCCACAUUGAAAAGCAGCAACAUGGUGUUUAACUUUUCCUUCUAAGCAGAGUCACAAAUAGAUCAGGACUGCCACUAAGGUGGAAGAAAAAAAAAAAAAAAGAGUCUUGGUUGUUAUUUAAAGAUGCUGGUAAAGUGGGCCGCAGGGAUCCAGGACCAUUCAAACAAAGUCACCGUCCACCCUCAGCUGAUUUCUACUGAUACACUUCAGCUAUAAGUUACACUAAUUUAUACAAUUUGGUGAUGAAAAUCGUAAAACACUCAAAUCGCCAAUAAGUUACUGCAGUGAAACCUCAGUUUUAUUUACCUACUUCACGGUAGUUUAGUGCUCCUGCAGCAAUCGUGAUAACCAGCGUGACUGAGGAGGACACUGAGCAGACGGGCACGUGCAGGUCAGAGUUUUGGAAAACAUUCAUAAGCUUGUUCAGCUAGUUUUAGAGCGUGAUCCUACUUGAAAACUGCCAAACUAAUGGAAAUGUGUUGAAGAUGUGUUGAGGUCACGUUCACAGUACACUGUCCUAGUGUGCAGUCUCUCCUGUUUGUCUCCUGCUUUGCCUCUGCAAUUUAAGAUUAAAAUUUUUGGACUUUUAUAAUUGUGGCUACAUUUCUCUAUGAGUGUACAAUGCGUAUAUGACUGUAAAUAUGAUUGCUAUCCUAGAAAAAGAAAGCUACGUGAUUUGAACCACAAUUCCCCCCACCUCAGUCAAAGUUUGCCCGUCCCGUGUCUGCUGACGACCCUGUGCUGCUAACACAACAUAGCACUUUGCAAUCAUCUGCACAUACAGCAUGCUAACGCAAAGCUAGCAAAUAACCCAGAGGGAUGAUGAAGUCAAGUGAAUGCUUACCCCAGCCAAACAGCCAGAGCGUGAAGUAUAAGCAGCAUACUGCAUUACUGUUCAGAAAGGUAAUGUGUAAUGUGUAAUAUAUUUCUUUUUUGUAGCAUCAACCCCAACACUACUCCUAACAUAACUCCUCCUAGAAGAAUACAGAAAGAGGACCACGAUUUUCAGAUUUAAAGAGAUGAAGAACACAGAGUUGACCCUGGCUCUCUGCAGAUGCUUCACAGUAAAAAGCAUCCAGAUAUUUUUCUGAUUCAUGGCAACUGAAGUGCUUACUGUGAUGUACCAUGUUUGCAAGGGUCCAGGUUCAUGAUACCCGAGUCUAAGGGCUAUUCUAUUUUUACCCAUGGAAGUACUUGGUCAUAAACUAAAGCGCUUGACAAAGUAAACUUUUGAACUCAUGGCUAGAAAACGAAAGUUACCACGAGUCGAGCUAAGGUGAGCAUAAAUGUCCCAAUUUUUGUCGGCCCACUCAAUAAUUUUACUCUCACCCUAAUGAUGCUGUGAUAGUGUACACUCUGCAUUAUUUGUUGCGAUAUUUCAAACAAUGCGCUAACACACAAGUCAAAACAACUCUCUUUACACAAAGGUUUAGCAGAUAAAAGUACUGUUUGAAAAAUAGCACAAAGUCCAAAUGAUUCACAAUUAACCUGGUCAAAAAACUGCAACACCACAGAUACUGCUGGAGUCUGUCACAACACCAGCAAAGCACAUCCACUGAUUACACUGCUUGCCUGGCAAGGCAAAAUAAUCUGCAGCAGUAAAACAGGAAGGCUUUAAUUAGAUGUGACUCUACACUGCGUGGUGACAGCAGUAAAAUUCUCUCUGCUCACCGCUGUGUUGAUGAACACCAUAAGGCUAAAUAAGGUGUGUGUGUGGAGGAGCCUUGCAUCCACCUCAUGAAUUAUAAUGUAAGCUGUCAGACUGAGGGAUGGUAAGUGACCAGUUCAUGUCAGGACGGGACAGCUUGCUGCUUGAUUACAACCCUGCCUGUAUUGCAGACACACACACACACACACACACACACACACACACACACACACACACACACACACACACACACACACACACACAUUGUGACCACCUACUUCAAACCAGGGUGGGGCAGGUCCUGCUGUAACUCCAGGUCCUGUCUUGUUCAUUAGCAUCACAUCAAAGAGAAUUAAAAAAUAAAAAAAGAUAAUCACAGUAUUAGAAGAACUUUAAAACUCU